ACGACUCCACGUCUGUGCCAGCAGCCGCGGUAAACACCGGCGGCCCGAGUGGUAGCCGCUAUUAAUUGGGGUCUAAAGGGUCCGUAGCCGGUUCGAAUAAAGGUCCUCUGGGAAAUCUGGUUGCUUAACAAUCAGACUGCCAAGGGAUACUGGUCGAACUUGGAGACCGGGAGAGGUAAGAGGUACUUCAGGGGUAGGAGUGGAAAUCUUGUAAUCCCCUGGGGGGACCAUCUGUGGCGAAGGCGUCUUACCAGAACGGGUCUGACCGGUGAGGGACGAAAGCUGGGGGCGCAAACCGGAUUAGAUACCCGGGUAGUCCCAGCCGUAAACGAUGCUCGCUAUGUGUCAGGUACGGUGUGACCGUAUCUGGUGCCGUAGGGAAGCCGUGAAGCGAGCCACCUGGGAAGUACGGCCGCAAGGCUGAAACUUAAAGGAAUUGGCGGGGGAGCACUACAACGGGUGGAGCCUGCGGUUUAAUUGGAUUCAACGCCGGAAAUCUUACCGGGGGAGACAGCAGCAUGAAGGUCAGGCUGAAGACCUUACCAGAUCCGCUGAGAGGAAGUGCAUGGCCGUCGUCAGUUCGUACUGUGAAGCAUCCUGUUAAGUCAGGCAACGAGCGAGACCCGUGCCCACAGUUGCCAGCAUGCCCUUCGGGGCGAUGGGUACUUUGUGGGGACCGCCGCUGCUAAAGCGGAGGAAGGAGCGGGUUACGGUAGGUCAGUAUGCUCCGAAACUCCCGGGCUACACGCGGGCUACAAUGGUUGGGACAAUGGGAAUCAACACCGAAAGGUGAAGGCAAUCUCCUAAACCCAAUCGAAGUUCGGAUUGAGGGCUGCAACUCGCCCUCAUGAAGCUGGAAUCCGUAGUAAUCGCGUUUCAACACAGCGCGGUGAAUACGUCCCUGCUCC
Molecule: ribosomal RNA, 908 nt
Filed under: uncultured archaeon
Lineage: Archaea
Description: bacterial SSU rRNA
Rfam family: Archaeal small subunit ribosomal RNA
Source: RNAcentral